AUGGCGGGGGAGGAGGCCGCGGAGGGAAGCGGGAACAGGAGGCGGAUGGAUCUAAACCUGUACCUGGGCCUCCCUCCAUUGCCGCGGCCUCCAGGUCGGCUGGGCGUAGCUAUGGAUCGCCCGCCGCCGCCCAACUCGGCCAUUCCGGUUCCGGAAUCUCCAAGAACAGAUGAGCCUGCAGUAUUACCGGCACCAGAGGAGAUGCCGCCACUGCCCGUUGUAUACUCGCCGUCCAAUGCGCUCUCCACGCCGGAGCUAUCGCUGAUAGAUCCGAUGCUCUUUGAUUGGCUUGAUGGCCUCAGUACGGACAGUGAAGAGGCUCUUGAUGCUGGUGAACCGGCUGUGGUGCGCGACACGCCCUCACAUGAUGCCAAUGUAUCACCACCGCCGCCAGCGCCAUUGUCUCUUCCUGGGCUGGAAGGGGUUCGCCUUGAGUGGGUGGAAAGGCUUUCUCACCCUAUUCUGGUGGCUCCUGCAGCCGGAGCAGAGAUGGUGAGCACGAGGGUGAUGAGUCAAUCUAUGGGGGCUGCGAAUGCAAUUGAAGACAUGACGCCUGAGCUCCGCCUGCAGAGGUUGAUCCAGGUGAGUGAACAACACCGCAUUGUGCGGCCAGGGUCAGUGAACCGCAACCAGCGGGCGACCAGCCCAGAAGCAGAAAGACUGGCGCAAGCCAUCCAGCGGUCUCACAGCUCUCUAGACGCAUCAAGGCGGCAGAAGCUCGAUGGUGAUGGCAAGAUGACAGGAACAGGUGCCGUCAAGAAGGACGGGAACUGUGGGUGCAACUCCAGUUUCGAGUGCAAUAUCUGCCUUGAAGCGGCUAAAGAGCCCGUGGUUACACCGUGCGGCCACCUCUUCUGCUGGCCAUGCUUGUACCAGUGGCUCCAUGGACAUUCAGCCCACUCUGAGUGCCCUGUCUGCAAGGGAGAGGUGCUCGAAGUAAAUGUCACACCAAUAUAUGGAAGAGGAGGCGGUGAAUGGGACGCCUCCAGCAAUGAUGUUCCUCCCAGACCACGCGCAAACAGGAGUGAGAGCUUGAGGCAGCAACUGCAAAUGCCAGACCCAAGAGGCAUUGCAAGCAUGGUGAGACGGUUGAUAGAAAACCAGGAUAUAGUGAGAGGCCAGGCAGCUCCACCUGCAGGCGGGGUUGAGGUGACUGUACUUCCCGCAGCCCGGUCAAGGGCUAGGGUACGGAGACAGCAAAGACACAGUCUUGUUUCACCCUCCCCAAUAAUGCUGCGUGCAAGCAACGCGGCCCCUGAGAGUGGCAAUCAGGCAUCGACUUCUAGCACCCUGGCUGUUAUAGUGGGACAGGCAGCCCAAAGUAGGAGAUCCAGACCUUCGGAGUCCACAACCACAAGAAGAACAAGGAGGAGGCAGCAGCAGUAG
This 1386-nucleotide ribosomal RNA is filed under the name Triticum aestivum (bread wheat). Its description in RNAcentral is "partial small subunit ribosomal RNA". The record is from RNAcentral. Lineage: Eukaryota; Viridiplantae; Streptophyta; Magnoliopsida; Poales; Poaceae.